RNAcentral lists this ribosomal RNA (494 nucleotides) under uncultured bacterium. Its description in RNAcentral is "partial 16S ribosomal RNA". It matches the Rfam family "Bacterial small subunit ribosomal RNA", at positions 28 to 507 of the family's 1533-position model. The record is from RNAcentral.
GACGAACGCUGGCGGCGUGCUUAACACAUGCAAGUCGAACGGUGAAGCGCCUUCCUUUUUGGUGGGUGUGGAUGAGUGGCGAACGGGUGAGUAACACGUGAGUAACCUGCCCCCUUCUUCUGGAUAACCGCAUGAAAGUGUGGCUAAUACGGGAUAUUCUGGGUCUGUCGCAUGAUGGGUCUGGGAAAGAUAUUGUUUCGGUGGGGGAUGGGCUCGCGGCCUAUCAGCUUGUUGGUGGGGUGAUGGCCUACCAAGGCGGUGACGGGUAGCCGGCCUGAGAGGGUGGACGGUCACACUGGGACUGAGACACGGCCAAGACUCCUACGGGAGGCAGCAGGGGGGAAUAUUGCACAAUGGGCGCAAGCCUGAUGCAGCGACGCCGCGUGAGGGAUGGAGGCCUUCGGGUUGUGAACCUCUUUCGCCAGUGAAGCAGGCCUGCCUCGUUUGUGGGUGGGUUGACGGUAGCUGGAUAAGAAGCGCCGGCUAACUACGUG